CCUACGGGUGGCUGCAGUGGGGAAUAUUGGGCAAUGGAGGAAACUCUGACCCAGCCAUGCCGCGUGAAUGAUGAAGGCCUUAGGGUUGUAAAGUUCUUUUGCAGGGGACGAUGAUGACGGUACCCUGAGAAUAAGCUCCGGCUAACUUCGUGCCAGCAGCCGCGGUAAUACGAAGGGAGCUAGCGUUGUUCGGAAUUACUGGGCGUAAAGCGUGCGCAGGCGGCUAUACAAGUCAGGGGUGAAAUGCCAAGGCUCAACCUUGGAACUGCCUUUGAAACUGUAUAGCUAGAGACUCGGAGGGGUUAGGGGAAUUCCUAAUGUAGCGGUGAAAUGCGUAGAUAUUAGGAGGAACACCAGUGGCGAAGGCGCCUAACUAGACGAGUACUGACGCUCAUGCACGAAAGCGUGGGGAUCAAACAGGAUUAGAUACCCUUGUAGUC
This 440-nucleotide ribosomal RNA is filed under the name uncultured bacterium. Its description in RNAcentral is "partial 16S ribosomal RNA". It matches the Rfam family "Bacterial small subunit ribosomal RNA", at positions 338 to 795 of the family's 1533-position model. The record is from RNAcentral.